This 159-nucleotide small RNA is filed under the name Geobacillus kaustophilus. RNAcentral's name for it is "c-di-AMP sequence". It matches the Rfam family "c-di-AMP riboswitch aptamer (ydaO/yuaA leader)". Rfam says of the family: This family represents a conserved RNA structure found upstream of the ydaO and yuaA genes in Bacillus subtilis and related genes in other bacteria. RNAcentral also lists the same sequence under 1 other name. The record is from RNAcentral. Lineage: Bacteria; Bacillati; Bacillota; Bacilli; Caryophanales; Anoxybacillaceae.
CCCUAAAGAUCGCUGAAUCCGAAUAGGAGCGGGGGAACCAACCGUGGCUUUGUGCGCCACAUGGGGUGAAUCCUGUUCAGGACGCCUGUUCUGAACGGGUAGGGUGACUCUCAUCACCCGAAUCCGUCAGCUAACCUCGUAAGCGUGUUGAGAGAAGGG